Molecule: unclassified non-coding RNA, 240 nt
Filed under: soil metagenome
Description: partial contains 5.8S ribosomal RNA, internal transcribed spacer 2, and large subunit ribosomal RNA
Source: RNAcentral
AACGCACGAGACCUGCGGACCUGCGGAGGGAUCAUUAAUGAGAAACUGCCCCUCGCGGGUAGAUCUCCCACCCUUUGUAAACUUACCUUUGUUGCUUUGGCAGGCCCGUCUCCGGGCCGCCGGCUUCGGCUGGCCAGUGCCUGCCAGAGGAUUCUAAAACUCUGUCUGUCAGUGUUGUCUGAGUCUAUAUACAAUCGUUAAAACUUUCAACAACGGAUCUCUAGAUCGGAAGAGCACACG